CUACGGGAGGCUCCAGAGAGGAAUAUUGCACAAUGGGGGGAACCCUGAUGCAGCAACGCCGCGUGGAGGAUGACGCAUUUCGGUGUGUAAACUCCUUUUAUAUGUCAAGAAAAUGACGGUAGCAUAUGAAUAAGCACCGGCUAACUCCGUGCCAGCAGCCGCGGUAAUACGGAGGGUGCAAGCGUUACUCGGAAUCACUGGGCGUAAAGGACGCGUAGGCGGGUUGGAAAGUCAGGUGUGAAAUCCUACAGCUUAACUGUAGAACUGCACUUGAAACUUCUAAUCUAGAGUAUGGGAGGGGGAGAUGGAAUUAGUGGUGUAGGGGUAAAAUCCGUGGAUAUCACUAGGAAUACCUAAAGCGAAGGCGAUCUCCUGGAACAUUACUGACGCUAAGGCGUGAAAGCGUGGGGAGCAAACAGGAUUAGAUACCCUCGUAGUC
RNAcentral lists this ribosomal RNA (439 nucleotides) under uncultured bacterium. Its description in RNAcentral is "partial 16S ribosomal RNA". It matches the Rfam family "Bacterial small subunit ribosomal RNA", at positions 339 to 795 of the family's 1533-position model. The record is from RNAcentral.